This 401-nucleotide unclassified non-coding RNA is filed under the name soil metagenome. Its description in RNAcentral is "partial contains 5.8S ribosomal RNA, internal transcribed spacer 2, and large subunit ribosomal RNA". The stretch from base 1 to 121 matches the Rfam family "5.8S ribosomal RNA", at positions 35 to 154 of the family's 154-position model. The record is from RNAcentral.
GAUGAAGAACGUAGCGAAAUGCGAUAAGUAAUGUGAAUUGCAGAAUUCAGUGAAUCAUCGAAUCUUUGAACGCACCUUGCGCCCUUUGGCCAUUCCGAAGGGCAUGCCUGUUUGAGUAUCAUGAACACCUCAACUCUCAUGGCUCGCCAUGAUGAGCUUGGAUUUGGAGGUCUUGCUGGCCUGUGGUCGGCUCCUCUCAAAUGGAUCAGCUUGCCAGUGUUUGGUGGCAUCACAGGUGUGAUAACUAUCUGCGCUUGUGGUUUUCCAUCAGAUAACCUUCAGUGAUGGAGGUUCGCUGGAGCUCAUAAACGUCUCCCCUAAGCGGGGACAGCCCUUUGAAUGUUUGAUCUCAAAUCAGGUAGGACUACCCGCUGAACUUAAGCAUAUCAAUAAGCGGAGGA